Molecule: non-coding RNA, 443 nt
Organism: Odocoileus virginianus texanus
Lineage: Eukaryota; Metazoa; Chordata; Mammalia; Artiodactyla; Cervidae
Source: RefSeq, a predicted model, not a curated record
ACAAAUAGAUGUUCACUUAAUUCUUCUAUUUUCCAUCCAGGUUUCUGCUCUCACCUUCUGCUCUGCCUGCUUUGCCUGAGUCUGGGGACUCCACAAAUGGAAGAUUUGGAGACAAAAGUAUUUAGAAAAGAAGUGUACUUGAAAAAGAUCUGUUAAGAAUCUUCACGGGCUAGAAGGAUUAGAUCAUCAAAAAAAAAAAAAAUACAUGUAUCUAAAGGUACAAUGUGUUUUUUCCUUUCUGACUAUGAGAUGAAGUGUGUAUGAUUACCCAAAGUGAGAUGCCAUUUUGCUUCUACAGUUCCACCUGGUGGUCAGGUUUCUGGUCCUGAGGUACAUAUUUAACCACGUGGGAAAGCAUGGACUUACACCCCAUGCUUCUCAUAAAUGGAAGAGCCUUGGUCUCUACCCCACAGGUGGUCAUGAGGAUGGAACAUCUCCCUGGA